CGCUGGGCGCAGGCCUAACACAUGCAAGUCGAGCGGUAACAGAGAGUAGCUUGCUACUUUGCUGACGAGCGGCGGACGGGUGAGUAAUGCUUGGGAACAUGCCUUGAGGUGGGGGACAACAGUUGGAAACGACUGCUAAUACCGCAUAAUGUCUACGGACCAAAGGGGGCUUCGGCUCUCGCCUUUAGAUUGGCCCAAGUGGGAUUAGCUAGUUGGUGAGGUAAUGGCUCACCAAGGCGACGAUCCCUAGCUGGUUUGAGAGGAU
Molecule: ribosomal RNA, 265 nt
Filed under: CFB group bacterium OI-1-4
Lineage: Bacteria; Pseudomonadati; Bacteroidota
Description: partial 16S ribosomal RNA
Rfam family: Bacterial small subunit ribosomal RNA
Source: RNAcentral